UCUCCAUGAUAAAAAAGUAGGAAUAAAUUCUUUUGAAAUUUGUAAUGAAAAUAUGAAUGACUGAAUGUAAAGCAGUUAUCAUACAUGAUCAUCUUUUUUAUGAUAGCUAGGUUUUACUUGAUAUCAGAUUAUCUCCCCUUCACAUCUGGCCCAAGACCACAAUUAAUGACCCCACUUUUCGUUGUCCAUGAAUAUAGUUCCCUUUAAUUAUAGUGUAUUUUUUCUUUAUUUUUUUUCUUUCCCUUUCUCAUACAUUUCUUAGUUUUUCUGGGGUGGAAAUGAAAGAAGAGAGCUGAAAUAAACUUUUGGAUGUUUUAUUUUAACUGAUUUUGAUAAGGAAAGAGUGAUUCGGCCAGGUGCAAAAAGGUAGUAUUUACACUUUUCGGAACAUCUCUUGACUUGCCUAUAGGGGUAUGGAUGUGUAUUGGCCAAAUUUGUAUGAUGUAAACAUGCAAUUUUUCUGAAAAUUGCAUAUAUUUUUGGACUUGAACUGUACAUUGCACACACCAAAAUUUAGACAAAAAGAAUAGGCAAAUUUUUUUUAAUGCGACAAAACGUUAUAAAGAACUGAUAGAGGAAUUAAUUGUAGUCUCGGGCCUAAUCUUGUUCAGGGCAAGGGAGACAAAUCAGUAAAUAUAGAUACACUUCUAAAGUAAAGGUACAACAUUACAACAUUUUACAUUGACAUAUAUUUAGGAUAGAUAUAUAGAUAUCUAGGGGCAUUUAAAAUUAGAUACAUGUAUAAUAAAUAAAUUUAAAUUGUUUGUUG
This 769-nucleotide long non-coding RNA is filed under the name Mytilus galloprovincialis (Mediterranean mussel). Lineage: Eukaryota; Metazoa; Mollusca; Bivalvia; Mytilida; Mytilidae. The record is from RNAcentral.